ACUCCUACGGGAGGCAGCAGUAGGGAAUUUUCCGCAAUGGACGAAAGUCUGACGGAGCAAUGCCGCGUGAGUGAUGAAGGUUUUCGAAUCGUAAAGCUCUGUUGUAAGGGAAGAAUAGCAAGAAUAGGAAAUGAUUCUUGUCUGACGGUACCUUACCAGAAAGCCACGGCUAACUACGUGCCAGCAGCCGCGGUAAUACGUAGGUGGCAAGCGUUAUCCGGAUUUAUUGGGUUUAAAGGGUCCGUAGGCGGAUUAAUAAGUCAGUGGUGAAAUCCCAUCGCUUAACGAUGGAACUGCCAUUGAUACUGUUAGUCUUGAAUGAGGGUGCAGUGGUUGGAAUGUGUAGUGUAGCGGUGAAAUGCAUAGAUAUUACACAGAACACCGAUUGCGAAGGCAGAUCACUAACCCUAAAUUGACGCUGAGGGACGAAAGCGUGGGGAGCGAACAGGAUUAGAUACCCUGGUAGGCUCU
RNAcentral lists this ribosomal RNA (471 nucleotides) under uncultured bacterium. Its description in RNAcentral is "bacterial SSU rRNA". It matches the Rfam family "Bacterial small subunit ribosomal RNA", at positions 335 to 798 of the family's 1533-position model. The record is from RNAcentral.